UAGCAUUGGGGCUGUGGUUUGAAACAAGCUAUCUCAAAAGAGGGAGAGAGACAGAGGGAGCAGGCAAGACUUGAGGCUGCCCUGGAAUGUGACGAGUGUGAUUGCUUCAACUCUUUGCCCCCGAGAGGCAACUGGACUCAUCCUCACCACAUGAAAGCAUCUGCCAUUCUUCCGUCAGUCUGCGGCAGGACACUGCGGUUGUGGCUACCUUGACAAUUAAGCCUGCUUGGAGCUUUCUAAUGGAGGCUUCAGAGUGUGCCAUCUGUUAUUCAUCACCUAAACUUGUGGUUGUUUUCCUGAAAGGCCAAAGAUGGCCAAUUUAUCCUGAAACUGAAAAUCAAUAUGCCUCUAACCUUAUGUGGCCCAGAUUUUAGGAAUAACAUCCAGGCUCCAUUCGGAAA
Long non-coding RNA from Phodopus roborovskii (desert hamster), 401 nucleotides. RefSeq lists it as uncharacterized. The record is from RefSeq and is a predicted model, not a curated record. The transcript is spliced from 2 exons. NCBI's taxonomy places the organism in Eukaryota, Metazoa, Chordata, Mammalia, Rodentia, Cricetidae.